RNAcentral lists this ribosomal RNA (562 nucleotides) under uncultured bacterium. RNAcentral describes it as "partial 16S ribosomal RNA". It matches the Rfam family "Bacterial small subunit ribosomal RNA", at positions 355 to 902 of the family's 1533-position model. The record is from RNAcentral.
UGGGGAAUUUUGGACAAUGGGCGAAAGCCUGAUCCAGCAAUGCCGCGUGUGUGAAGAAGGCCUUCGGGUUGUAAAGCACUUUUGUCCGGAAAGAGAUCCUUGGCUCUAAUACAGUCGGGGGAUGACGGUACCGGAAGAAUAAGCACCGGCUAACUACGUGCCAGCAGCCGCGGUAAUACGUAGGGUGCAAGCGUUAAUCGGAAUUACUGGGCGUAAAGCGUGCGCAGGCGGUUUGCUAAGACCGAUGUGAAAUCCCCGGGCUCAACCUGGGAACUGCAUUGGUGACUGGCAGGCUAGAGUAUGGCAGAGGGGGGUAGAAUUCCACGUGUAGCAGUGAAAUGCGUAGAGAUGUGGAGGAAUACCGAUGCGAAGGCAGCCCCCUGGGCCAAUACUGACGCUCAUGCACGAAAAGCGUGGGGAGCAAAACAGGAUUUAGAUACCCCUGGUAGUCCACGCCCCUAAAACGAUGUCAACUAGUUUGUUUGGGGGAUUCAUUUCCUUAGUAACGUAGCUAACGCGUGAAGUUGACCGCCUGGGGAGUACGGUCGCAAGAUUAAAACUC